RNAcentral lists this ribosomal RNA (253 nucleotides) under uncultured bacterium. RNAcentral's name for it is "partial 16S ribosomal RNA". It matches the Rfam family "Bacterial small subunit ribosomal RNA", at positions 524 to 776 of the family's 1533-position model. The record is from RNAcentral.
UACGGAGGGUGCAAACGUUGCUCGGAAUUAUUGGGCGUAAAGCGUACGUAGGCGGUCCAGCAAGUCGGGUGUGAAAGCCCUCGGCUUAACCGAGGAAGUGCAUUCGAAACUACUGGACUUGAAUACUGGAGAGGAUCGCGGAAUUCCCGGUGUAGAGGUGAAAUUCGUAGAUAUCGGGAGGAACACCAGUGGCGAAGGCGGCGAUCUGGACAGAUAUUGACGCUGAUGUACGAAAGCGUGGGGAUCAAACAGG